GACGAACGCUGGCGGCGUGCCUAAUACAUGCAAGUCGAGCGCAGGAAGCUGACGGAACUCUUCGGAGAGAAGGCAGUGGAAUGAGCGGCGGACGGGUGAGUAACACGUAAGGAACCUGCCUCAAGGAUUGGGAUAACUCCGAGAAAUCGGAGCUAAUACCGGAUAGUUCAACGGACCGCAUGGUCCGCUGAUGAAAGGCGCUUCGGCGUCACCUUGAGAUGGCCUUGCGGUGCAUUAGCUAGUUGGUGGGGUAACGGCCCACCAAGGCGACGAUGCAUAGCCGACCUGAGAGGGUGAUCGGCCACACUGGGACGGAGCCACGGCCCAGACUCCUACGGGAGGCAGCAGUAGGGAAUCUUCCACAAUGGACGAAAGUCUGAUGGAGCAACGCCGCGUGAGUGAUGAAGGUUUUCGGAUCGUAAAACUCUGUUGUAAGGGAAGAACACGUACGAGAGGGAAUGCUCGUACCUUGACGGUACCUUACGAGAAAGCCACGGCUAACUACGUGCCAGCCGCCGCCGUAA
RNAcentral lists this ribosomal RNA (524 nucleotides) under uncultured bacterium. RNAcentral's name for it is "partial 16S ribosomal RNA". It matches the Rfam family "Bacterial small subunit ribosomal RNA", at positions 28 to 523 of the family's 1533-position model. The record is from RNAcentral.